UGGGACCCACGCGAAUGCGCGCUGUUUCGGCAUUUCCUUCAACCUCAAAACACGUCGCGCAGAACGACACCGUUUUGGCACGACGUAAUCCAUAUCCAUCAACCUACCUGAAUCUCUUCAGCGAAGGGUCUUUGAAGUUCGAAGGAAAUGAACGUAAAGCGCACCGGAUCAAUGUCGUUUCGAGACUAUUUCCGAGGACACAGAUCUCUUGAAACUUUUCAAUUUCUUCAGGUUCUGAAUCAACUUGAUAGAUCGAGCAUGGUAAUUUUAGCGGCUGCUACGAGUUUGAAGCCUCCACCGUUUGUAUCUUUCGAUCGAUCAGAUUUCUAGUGAUUCCAAUCCAUCAUAUCUGUUUGAUAACUUCUUCCUGUAACAAAGGCGAGGUAGUCGAUCGAUUACUAAUUUGCUCUCUUGCUUUAUCAUGGAUGCUGGACCAAACUAUUUAGGUAAUGUUUUUCUUUGAGAAUUCUUAGGCGCUUUUGGAGCAAACGAAAUUUGAUCAGUGCGUCGACAUAAUUAAGGAGUAGACAUUCUAGGCAGAUAAUAGUAAAACCUCAGUUAAGAGAGUUACGUCGAAAUUAGGGAUGUUGUCGUUGUGGUGUGGGAGGAUUCAUUGCUUUAUGCAGGAGUAGGACCGAUUCUUGUGUUUCAGUGGCCAUAGUUUUCUUUCAUUAUCAUGUUAUUUCAUAAAUAGGAUGAAACGAUUAGAAAAGUAUAUACCUUUGGAAGUAUUUAUAUCUUGUUGUAUAGAUCGAUGAAGGAUCUUAAUUGCAGUAUAAACAAUGGUAUGGGGGUUAGUUUUUUAUUUUAUGACAACAUCGUUCCGGAAAUUGAUGGAAUCUAAUGAUUCCUGGUGGUUUACAAGGGUCUUCCUCUGGUUAGCAGAUUUGCUAAUUUGAAGUCAUUGUGUCCAUGUUACUGCAAGUUGAUAUAUAUUUGUAUUUGAAUUGUAAUUAUGUAAAUUUUCAUUCCCAUGUCAUGUUUCUUUUAAUUUGCAUCUGAUGGGUUGAGCCACAUAAACUUUGACCACAGGCCGUAGCUGAUCAGGUCCUGAAUUAUUGGAUGCGUUUAGGAAUACCCUCCCACCUUUCAUUUUUUUUUUUUUGCUGAAAAAAGGCAAUUAGUCUACUAUUUAUUUUAUUUAUGAUUUCAUUGUUACGUUACAGGAACUGCAUUGAAGACAUCGAUAGUAUCUGUUAAGGAGAAAGUCUAAAGAAAUUCAUAACCGAUUAAUUUAUAAUAUUUUACUUGUAUUUUACAGUUGCAUGCAGACUGAAGAAUUGAUAAAAUGAGGGGCUCCCUGUAUUCAAAAUCGUCAUUGAGUACAAAACUCGUACAUGUGGCAACAGUCAGGAAGAGUAAGAAAUGAAUGACAGAAAAUGCAUCAGUAAGAAGAAAAUCGUAUUGGUCAUUUGCUGCUGUUGGAUCCUACCAGUGCAUGCAUAAGCUGUCCACCCAUUCAUCUCUCCAAUAUUAUAGUUUCAC
This is a long non-coding RNA of Vigna radiata var. radiata (mung bean), 1485 nucleotides long. RefSeq lists it as uncharacterized. The transcript is spliced from 2 exons. Lineage: Eukaryota; Viridiplantae; Streptophyta; Magnoliopsida; Fabales; Fabaceae. The record is from RefSeq and is a predicted model, not a curated record.